CGAAGGGGGCUAGCGUUGUUCGGAUUUACUGGGCGUAAAGCGCACGUAGGCGGAUCGAUCAGUCAGGGGUGAAAUCCCAGGGCUCAACCCUGGAACUGCCUUUGAUACUGUCGAUCUGGAGUAUGGAAGAGGUGAGUGGAAUUCCGAGUGUAGAGGUGAAAUUCGUAGAUAUUCGGAGGAACACCAGUGGCGAAGGCGGCUCACUGGUCCAUUACUGACGCUGAGGUGCGAAAGCGCGGGGAGCAAACAGGAUUAGAUACCCUGGUAGUCCACGCCGUAAACGAUGAAUGUUAGCCGUCGGGCAGUAUACUGUUCGGUGGCGCAGCUAACGCAUUAAACAUUCCGCCUGGGGAGUACGGUCGCAAGAUUA
This 370-nucleotide ribosomal RNA is filed under the name uncultured organism. RNAcentral's name for it is "bacterial SSU rRNA". It matches the Rfam family "Bacterial small subunit ribosomal RNA", at positions 526 to 896 of the family's 1533-position model. The record is from RNAcentral.